UCCACGCCCUAAACGAUGAAUACUCGAUGUUGGCGAUAUACGGUCAGCGUCUAAGCGAAAGCGUUAAGUAUUCCACCUGGGGAGUACGCCCGCAAGGGUGAAACUCAAAGGAAUUGACGGGGGCCCGCACAAGCGGAGGAGCAUGUGGUUUAAUUCGAUGAUACGCGAGGAACCUUACCCGGGCUUGAAAGUUAGUGAAUAGAGCAGAGACGCUCUAGUCCUUCGGGACACGAA
Molecule: ribosomal RNA, 234 nt
Filed under: uncultured bacterium
Lineage: Bacteria
Description: partial 16S ribosomal RNA
Rfam family: Bacterial small subunit ribosomal RNA
Source: RNAcentral